GAUGAACGCUGGCGGCGUGCCUAAUACAUGCAAGUCGAGCGAAAAGACGCGGCGUUUAUUCCUCUGACGUUAGCGGCGGACGGGUGAGUAACACGUGGAUCACCUACUUAUAAGACUGGGAUAACUUCGGGAAUCGGGAGCUAAUCCCGGAUAACAUGUUGAACCGCAUGGUUCAACAGUGAAAGUCGGUCUUGCUGUCACGUAUAGAUGGAUCCGCGUCGCAUUAGCUAGUUGUUAAGGUAACGGCUUACCAAGGCAACGAUGCGUAGCCGACCGCCGAGGGUGAUCGGCCACACUGGAACUGAAACACGCUCCAGACUCCUACGGGAGGCAGCAGUAGGGAAUCUUCCGCAAUGGGCGAAAGCCUGACGGAGCAACGCCGCGUGAGUGAAGAAGAUCUUCGGAUCGUAAAACUCUGUUAUUAGGGAAGAACAAAUGUGUAAGUAACUAUGCACGUCUUGACGGUACCUAAUCAGAAAGCCACGGCUAACUACGUG
Molecule: ribosomal RNA, 497 nt
Filed under: uncultured bacterium
Lineage: Bacteria
Description: partial 16S ribosomal RNA
Rfam family: Bacterial small subunit ribosomal RNA
Source: RNAcentral